Molecule: transfer RNA, 73 nt
Filed under: Bos taurus (domestic cattle)
Lineage: Eukaryota; Metazoa; Chordata; Mammalia; Artiodactyla; Bovidae
Also listed under: 4 other names
Rfam family: tRNA
About the family: Transfer RNA (tRNA) molecules are approximately 80 nucleotides in length. Their secondary structure includes four short double-helical elements and three loops (D, anti-codon, and T loops).
Source: Rfam by way of RNAcentral
GUUUCUGUAGCGUAGUCGUUAUCACGUUUGCCUAACAUGCAAAAGGUCCCCGGUUCAAAACCGCAUGGAAACA